UACAGAGGGUGCAAGCGUUAAUCGGAAUUACUGGGCGUAAAGCGCACGCAGGCGGUUGGUUAAGUCAGAUGUGAAAGCCCCGGGCUCAACCUGGGAAUUGCAUUUGAAACUGGCCAACUAGAGUACGUGAGAGGGGGGUAGAAUUCCAAGUGUAGCGGUGAAAUGCGUAGAGAUUUGGAGGAAUACCAGUGGCGAAGGCGACCCCCUGGCACGAUACUGACGCUCAGGUGCGAAAGCGUGGGGAGCAAACAGG
Molecule: ribosomal RNA, 253 nt
Filed under: uncultured bacterium
Lineage: Bacteria
Description: partial 16S ribosomal RNA
Rfam family: Bacterial small subunit ribosomal RNA
Source: RNAcentral